UGGGGAAUAUUGCACAAUGGGCGAAAGCCUGAUGCAGCGACGCCGCGUGAGGGAUGACGGCCUUCGGGUUGUAAACCUCUUUCAGUAGGGACGAAGCGCAAGUGACGGUACCUGCAGAAGAAGCACCGGCUAACUACGUGCCAGCAGCCGCGGUAAUACGUAGGGUGAGAGCGUUGUCCGGAAUUACUGGGCGUAAAGAGCUCGUAGGCGGUUUGUCACGUCGUCUGUGAAAUCCUAGGGCUUAACCCUGGACGUGCAGGCGAUACGGGCUGACUUGAGUACUACAGGGGAGACUGGAAUUUCUGGUGUAGCGGUGGAAUGCACAGAUAUCAGGAAGAACACCGAUGGCGAAGGCAGGUCUCUGGGUAGUAACUGACGCUGAGGAGCGAAAGCAUGGGUAGCGAACAGG
RNAcentral lists this ribosomal RNA (409 nucleotides) under bacterium. Its description in RNAcentral is "partial 16S ribosomal RNA". It matches the Rfam family "Bacterial small subunit ribosomal RNA", at positions 355 to 776 of the family's 1533-position model. The record is from RNAcentral.